Batrachochytrium dendrobatidis JEL423 is the source of this 1111-nucleotide ribosomal RNA. It matches the Rfam family "Bacterial small subunit ribosomal RNA". NCBI's taxonomy places the organism in Eukaryota, Fungi, Chytridiomycota, Chytridiomycetes, Rhizophydiales. The record is from Rfam.
AAAAUAAAUAUGUAUGAUCAUAGCUAACAAAGGACACAAAUCAUUAAGUAACACAUGUUAAUAAAAAGAUAUUUAUAUAUCUAAUAUAAGAGGGUGAGAAAAGGAUCUUAUUACCUUUUAAUUAAAUAAAGAGAAAGAUAUGAGAUCCAUAGGUUUAGGUAAAUGAUAGAAAUAGAAAGCUAUCAUGCCCAUAAUCCUUAACGAAAGUCACAGGAUUGCUAAAAAACAAUCCCCAUAGGCAGCAGUGAAAAAUAUUGAGCAAUGAAUUUCUAUUUGACUCAGUUAAUGAUUUUUAUCUAUUAGAAUGAUUUAGAUAAUUACUAGAAAGGAAUCCUCAAGAUUUCAAAGAUAGUUUAUUCUGGAGAAUUUCUGUGCCAGCAGCCGCGGUAAAACAGAUAGAAUAGUGUAAUUGAUAAUAAAUAGGUUUAAAAGUAAAUAGAUGGUUUCUUAUACAACUAGAAUCUUUAAGAAAUUUAAUGAAUAAUUGAUUUAAAGAUGGAAUUUUAUAAAAUCAAUUGGAAAAACAUGUGAUAACAUUAAAUUAUUAAUAGAUUGACAUUAGAUUACUAAAGUAUAGUCAAUAAACCAGAUUAGAUACCUGAUUAAUCUAUACCCUCAAUUGAAAGUGAAUAACUUUAUACCUCCUUAGUAUUUUGGCAACAUUGAAAUGGAAUUGAUUUGACGGGUCUUAACAACAGCAGUGGAAUAUGUGGUUUAAUUAGAUAAUACUCUAUACAUCUUACCUUGAUUCUUAGUAUUGCAUGGCUAUUGUAAGUUUCUUUAGCAAUAAUUUAAUUGACUAAUAUAAUCCUUUCUUCUGGAUUACUUACUUUAAGUACUCAUGAUCUAUAUCUAGGGCUAUACAUUUAUUACAUUGAUAAGUUUAAUUUAAUAUUAUCCUUAUCUUGUUCUGAUAAUUAACUGUAAUUUGUUAAUUUGAAGGAGGAAUUGCUAGUAAUCAAUCUUUACUAUCGAUUGAUGAAUUUUAUCUUGAGAUUGUACAAAUCGCCUGUCAAAACAUGAUAGAGAUCUCGAUUUAUUCGUUUUCUUGAUUAGGUUUAAGUCAUAACAAAGUCGUGCUAUCGGAAGCUGGUGCGUUAUUUCCUAUUAG